GCCGCCCCGCCCGCCGCCGGGCCCGCCCCCGUUGCCAUGGCGGCGGCGGCGGCAGCGGGGGGACAUGGGCGGCAAAGCGGCCCCGAAACCGAGCCCUCGAGGCGCCCCGAGGCUCCCCGAGUCAUCCCAAGUUGCCAGGGCCUGUCUGUGACUGGAUGCAUGCCAGAUUGUCCUUUGGGAUAUAGCCCAGUGAGCAGGAGAAAUGGAUUUGAAUUUGGCAAAAUGGCAAUAAGCAUAAAGGAUGAAGCUGGAGAGCUGCUUCAUCAGUGCCAAUCCAUACUGUGGUUGGUCUCAUGAAAAAGAUCUUAUUGAUGAAUUAUUGCAGCUACUCUCCCAGCCAUGGAAGAAUGUCUCAUACAAAAAGAUCCAUAGGUGACUGAUAGGUGUGGUAAGCAGCCUGUGAGAUUUGGGAGAAAAUUUCUGGUAUAUCUAGAAAUCAACCUAGAUCUAACUUACCUGCCAUUGUGGAUAUUUUAGUCUUAAUUCAUGCUUUUCCACCACAUUUCAGAACGUGUCCUUUAUCUGAACAGCUUUGCUUUCUUGUUUGUUUGUUUUUUAUGUUUGUCAGUCAUUACACAGUGCUAUUUAGAAUCAAUUUUGCACCCUUCCAUGUGUUGAGUGGUUGUGGUGAGUGAUGAUUGCAGGAUUAGCCUGCUAGUAAUUAAAUGUUGCUGCCUCUUAGCUUGAAAAUGAAACAUCUCUAAGGAAUUUAAGAGUUUCUUGCUUUAUUUAGGUUGGGCAUGUCUAAAUAGUAUGGGUAGGUUUACCAAGUCAGUGCAGGCACAGUGCAAUCAUAAAAUAAUAAAUUAAAAAAAGCAAAAUGAAGAAGGGGGAAGAAUAAAGAGAGAGGAAGAAGAGAAGAAGAAAUUGAGAGAAGGGAAACAAAUUCAACCAAUCAUUAAAACUUUGAAUUGCAUUGGAAAUUUUCUACACUUCGCUGAAUCUUGGGUGUAAUUUCCUAAUUUUGGCUUUGUCCUAUCACAUAAAUUUUUCCUGUCUGGACUCAUUUUUACUCACAGAUUGGUCUUCAAAAUUUGUAAGUGUUAAGCUGUGUAAAAUAGGACAUGUUGCCUGUUUGUUGAAGCCUAGAGGGGUACCUGUCUCUGUAAAGCAGAGGCUGAGUUCCUUACCAUUUGUGGACCCACCGAAUGCUUGAUUUUUCAUAUUGGCUUUAUCACUAUGAAGAGUUUUCCUCUUGAAUUCACUGAUUUAUGUUCUAAGCAGAAUGAAGCCCUUUUUUAUUUUUCUCAAAAUCUGCUACCAAAAAUCACAUUAUUUCAGCAUGCAAAGACAGUUCUUUGCUUCUUCAAAGACUUAUUAGACUGAUCUGUCCCAUGCUUCUCACAGGACUGUAGCAGUGUAACCUCAUAUGAUACAAAUGCUGAGCUUCUGUUUGAAAUAAUAGGGAUGAUGCCUAAUCCUGAACAGACAUCAGAAGGAUUUUAAAUAAAGGUUGUCACUGAGAGGCCUGUAAGCUGCCCUCACUUAGUUCUGUCUGGCCUGUGUCAGGCUGAAGAUGAAGGCAUUUGAAUGUCUUAAUAGAAGCAGAGCGUGAGCUUUUUACCUUGAGCUCUUGUUACAUUUAAGGAUUCAUGCUGAAUAACAAUAAUAAAAGAUUAAUCCCAUCUGGUUUU
Long non-coding RNA from Pyrgilauda ruficollis (rufous-necked snowfinch), 1634 nucleotides. RefSeq lists it as uncharacterized. Lineage: Eukaryota; Metazoa; Chordata; Aves; Passeriformes; Passeridae. The transcript is spliced from 3 exons. The record is from RefSeq and is a predicted model, not a curated record.